ACCCUCACCGAUCGCACAUUCCCCUCACCGCUCCAACACAGUCCCCUCACCGCUCGCACAUCCCCUCACCGAUCGCAGACAACUCUCACCGAUCUCACACUCCCCUCACCGAUCUCAGCCCACUCUCACCGAUCUCAAGCCUAUGUGAAUCCCCUCACUUCAACCCUAUGUGAAUCCCCUUCCUCCCUCCGCUCCUCCUCCUCUUCGUUUCCUUCUCAUCGAUCGCUGGCACACACCCAUUCUCGCAAGGCCGACUAGCAGAACUCAUGCCUUCUUUACCAAAUUAUGUUGAAGUUCAUUUGAAGCUUUCAUAGCUUGGAUUUGCUAAUGCUGAAUAAAGGAUUGAAGAGGUAAAAUGCGACUGCUUCUGGUGUCUAAUCUUGAAGGUGGUUUAUUCUGGCUAUGUUUGUUAUUACCUUGCUAUUAGAAUCUGUAACGAGACAGAUGCAAAAACGGUUAACAUUGGUGUUUGGUUUGUACACUUGACGUGGCCAUCAUGACUUAUGAGAAGCAAUAAACCUGUGAACUAAUUCUUAGGAAUGAAUCAAUCAUUGUUUUGUUGUAGCUUGUAUUUUCAGUUCAUCUUUUCGUAUAUAUAAGAUGACCAAAUCCUUACACAACCAAUGUACUGUUUGGUGUUUUUUCUAUUCUUAGUAAAAUUUUACUAUUGUAGAGAAUGUCUAGAAAUAGUCCAAAAUCUGACAGCCAAAAAUAACAAACAAAAAUAAUCUACUUGUGAAGUUUGAUAAAGUGGAUUGUGUUAGGUUUAGCGUUGGCAAAUCCCAUAACAUUGUAACUUUCAAGCCAUCUCUGUUGUGUUCACUAGAGUCUUUUCAUGUUCAAGAGAAUGUGUUUUGUGUGGAAGAUGCAGCUCAAGAAGUGCAAGAAAAACAGUGUUCAACUGCUCUUUGAUUGAGGCUUGAUCAAUUGAGAAUCGUGGCUUUUAAAGUCCAUAAAAUCGAUUGUGACUAGAUUUUCAUACCCUACCAUGAUUAAGUAUGAAAUCAAUUUGAAUAUAAUUGUCUAGCUGAAAACUUUUGUAUGGCAUGCUUGUUCUUCCACUUUGUGUGU
Quercus robur (English oak) is the source of this 1071-nucleotide long non-coding RNA. RefSeq lists it as uncharacterized. The transcript is spliced from 3 exons. NCBI's taxonomy places the organism in Eukaryota, Viridiplantae, Streptophyta, Magnoliopsida, Fagales, Fagaceae. The record is from RefSeq and is a predicted model, not a curated record.